CUACGUGCCAGCAGCCGCGGUAAUACGUAGGGCGCGAGCGUUGUCCGGAAUUAUUGGGCGUAAAGAGCUUGUAGGCGGUUUGUCGCGUCUGCUGUGAAAGGCCGGGGCUUAACCCCGUGUAUUGCAGUGGGUACGGGCAGACUAGAGUGCAGUAGGGGAGACUGGAACUCCUGGUGUAGCGGUGGAAUGCGCAGAUAUCAGGAAGAACACCGAUGGCGAAGGCAGCCCCCUGGGAUAAUACUGACGUUCAUGCUCGAAAGCGUGGGUAGCAAACAGGAUUAGAUACCCUGGUAGUCCACGCCCUAAACGAUGUCGAUUAGCUGUUGGGCAGCUUGACUGCUUAGUAGCGUAGCUAACGCGUGAAAUUGACCGCCUGGGGAGUACGGUCGCAAGAUUAAAACUCAAAGGAAUUGACGGGGACCCGCACAAGCGGUGGAUGAUGUGGAUUAAUUCGAUGCAACGCGAAGAACCUUACCUGGUCUUGACAU
RNAcentral lists this ribosomal RNA (488 nucleotides) under uncultured bacterium. Its description in RNAcentral is "bacterial SSU rRNA". It matches the Rfam family "Bacterial small subunit ribosomal RNA", at positions 501 to 987 of the family's 1533-position model. The record is from RNAcentral.